GGGGGGGGGUUCAAGCUGCGCCUCCAACAGUGGGCCUGACCUACAUAUGAACUCAGUCCAUAUCUUUUGUGUCGUGUUCAGAACAGCGAUUCCAUCGAGAUCAAACUGUUUGUCGCUGCUCCGUCUUCUUUGCUGCUGGAUCCAGAACACCAGACCAGCCUGUGCAUCGUCUCUCGUGCCAGAUGCUGCAGCUGUGCGUCAAAAAGGAAACCCUUCCCUUUGAACGCCACACCUGCCGCGGCGUGUUUCUCCCGCCGCUCUCCGCCUUCGUUCUCUUCCUCCUCGACGCGUGUCGCUGCUUGCUGCCCCGGAAGCCGAGCGGGAAACGCGAGGGAGAACCACAGAUUCGUGCGGAGUUGUGUUUUCAUACACACACUCAUGCACGUGGCAGUAAAUCAUUAAAGAGCAGUCUGAGUUUAUGGUAAAGUGCACGUAUGAAAGGUGGAGCAACACUUCCAAUGAUUUAUUCAGUGAGUGUAAUAUCCAUGGCAUCAUUUAUGAGGCGGUGCGUUUGCGUGUGCGACGGGCACAAGAAGAGGCCACGCUGAUCAUAUUGGGAAAUAUUUUACGCGAUAAGUUUGCAAAUUGGGACUUUUUACACCUUGACUUCAUUUUACAUCCACACAAAGACUGGGAUGAAAAAUAAUGGCUCAGCGUGCAACGUCCAUUUUGCAGCAAGUGAGAGGAAAAAAAGACGAAGAUGCCAUUUGCAGUCCAGUGUUGCGAGGUUGGAGGAGGGAGUCCACGGCCGAGAGGAGCAGAGAUGCGAGAGGCGACCUGCCUGUGACCUCUCAGGUCUCUUUCAGCUCAUCUACUCUUCUCAGAGAGGAACCUUCCUAAAUUCUAUUCAGCUGGAGGGUGAAGACGCGAGCGGGUGAACUAAAUGCUGCAGCGUCACGUCACCUUCUGUCAGGAAAUGGCCGGUUUACGUGGCUUGAAGGACACGUGGUGGUAAGAAUAACUCACGUAGGGUAGCUGGCUGGCAGGAAUGUCCACAUGUUUCCAGGGUUCGAGCUCCGCUCCCCCCGGCUGUGUUUUGUGUGGAACCGGAUGUUCAGCUGAGGGGCAGCAGCUGACUCGAGUAGAGACUUAGCGCUGAUUGAUUGCACGUGUGUGUGUGUGUGUGUGUGUGUGACAGAGAACCACAGGGGAUCUAUUUGUUUUGGACAUGAGCGCUUCUCUCGAUGAACA
Long non-coding RNA from Gasterosteus aculeatus aculeatus (three-spined stickleback), 1191 nucleotides. NCBI's taxonomy places the organism in Eukaryota, Metazoa, Chordata, Actinopteri, Perciformes, Gasterosteidae. The record is from Ensembl.